Molecule: small nucleolar RNA, 77 nt
Filed under: Hucho hucho (huchen)
Lineage: Eukaryota; Metazoa; Chordata; Actinopteri; Salmoniformes; Salmonidae
Source: RNAcentral
UUGCAAUGAUGCUUUGAAUUUCUUGAACUGAAUCUGUUAUGUUGAUUAAAAACACGAGCUUUUUAACCCUGAGCUAA